AUCAUAAUUGCCAACUCGGUGGUACCAACUUGCUGAAAAGGUAGCAACUUUUUAACUCGGUGGAACCGAUAUAUGAAUCUCGGUGGUACCGAUACGAUGACCUAGACUGGAUUUCCAAACUCGGUGAGACCGACUUCAAACUCGGAAUUUUUGAAACUGAAGUUAGCUUACCUAAAAGUUGGUCAACCAAACUCGGUGGCACCGACAGGAAUGUUGGUUGUACCGAGAUGGUGGGUUUGGCAUAGGAUUGUCUAAGUGUAAAAUCGGUAUGACCGAGUGAGAAAUGUUUGUGGCACCAAUUUUCCAUAUUUGGCUUGGGACAAAUAUACUCUAUGGAAGAGUGGUGAGUAUUUU
RNAcentral lists this long non-coding RNA (354 nucleotides) under Hordeum vulgare. RNAcentral describes it as "long non-coding RNA (HVUL_LNC005192)". The record is from RNAcentral. Lineage: Eukaryota; Viridiplantae; Streptophyta; Magnoliopsida; Poales; Poaceae.